This 86-nucleotide ribosomal RNA is filed under the name Escherichia coli. Its description in RNAcentral is "partial 23S ribosomal RNA". The record is from RNAcentral. Lineage: Bacteria; Pseudomonadati; Pseudomonadota; Gammaproteobacteria; Enterobacterales; Enterobacteriaceae.
UGAGAGUCCUGAAGGAACGUUGAAGACGACGACGUUGAUAGGCCGGGUGUGUAAGCGCAGCKAUKCGUUGAGCUAACCGGUACUAA